GCUGUAGCUAAGAUCAGUCCACUGCAGCAGGAGUUUCAAGAACAGCAGCACAAAAAUAAUGACUUAACUGGAUAGAAAAAAAGGCACAUAUUUUCAGGAAGGCCUCUUUAUUCUUAGAAGUUACCCUUCAAGAUGACAAGUGGUGCAAACUCUUCAGGAUCUUACCUGCCCUCAGAAAUAAGAAGUUCUAAAAUAGAUGACAACUACUUGAAGGAAUUGAAUGAGGACUUAAAGCUAAGGAAGCAGGAACUGCUAGAGAUGCUCAAACCUCUAGAAGAUAAAAACAACCUCUUAUUUCAAAAGUUAAUGUCUAACUUGGAGGAAAAACAAAGGAGUCUUCAGAUCAUGAGACAGAUCAUGGCAGGGAAGGGGUGUGAGGAAUCCUCGGUCAUGGAGCUCCUUAAGGAAGCAGAGGAGAUGAAACAGAACUUGGAAAGGAAAAACAAGAUGCUUCGGAAGGAAAUGGAGAUGCUAUGGAACAAGACAUUCGAGGCAGAAGAACUUAGUGAUCAACAAAAAGCACCACAGACAAAAAACAAGGCAGACUUGCAGGAUGGAAAGAGGCUCUUUCUUCCACCAGGAAAAGCAACAGAGGAAAAUGGAAUGGGUCAAGUAUCAGGAACAAAAUAACAUCCUUCAGAAUGAUUUUCAUGGCAAAGUGAUUGAGCUGAGAAUUGAAGCCUUGAAGAACUACCAGAAGGCCAAUGACCUGAAAUUAUCACUGUAUUUGCAGCAGAAUUUUGAGCCAAUGCAAGCAUUUUUAAAUCUUCCUGGGUCCCAAGCAUUUCCUUGAGCUCUUCUGAGAAAAACCUGAACGUUGGAUGUACUAUGGGCAUUACAACUAUGGACAGAGUGACUACUGGCAGAAAUGAACACCAUGUGAGAAUUCUGGGAACAAAGAUCUACACAGAACAACAAGGAACUAAAGGAAGUCAGCUUGAUAAUACAGGAGGGAGACUCUUUUUUCUGAGGUCAUUGCCAGAUGAAGCACUGAAGAAUUAGCAGGCUUUCGCUCCAUUUGCUUUGGACAGAUUUAAAGACUAGGCACAGCCAUUUGUGUUAAUUAAAAUCUCUCGCACCUUU
This 1083-nucleotide long non-coding RNA is filed under the name Homo sapiens (human). RNAcentral describes it as "long non-coding RNA NONHSAT037421.2". The record is from RNAcentral. Lineage: Eukaryota; Metazoa; Chordata; Mammalia; Primates; Hominidae.